AACGAACGCUGGCGGCAUGCCUAACACAUGCAAGUCGAACGAGACCUUCGGGUCUAGUGGCGCACGGGUGCGUAACGCGUGGGAACCUGCCCUUAGGUUCGGAAUAACUCCCCGAAAGGGGUGCUAAUACCGGAUAAUGUCUUCGGACCAAAGAUUUAUCGCCUUUGGAUGGGCCCGCGUUGGAUUAGCUAGUUGGUAGGGUAAAAGCCUACCAAGGCGACGAUCCAUAGCUGGUCUGAGAGGAUGAUCAGCCACACUGGGACUGAGACACGGCCCAGACUCCUACGGGAGGCAGCAGUGGGGAAUAUUGGACAAUGGGCGAAAGCAUGAUCCAGCAAUGCCGCGUGAGUGAUGAAGGCCUUAGGGUUGUAAAGCUCUUUUACCCGGGAUGAUAAUGACAGUACCGGGAGAAUAAGCCCCGGCUAACUCCGUG
This 433-nucleotide ribosomal RNA is filed under the name uncultured bacterium. Its description in RNAcentral is "partial 16S ribosomal RNA". It matches the Rfam family "Bacterial small subunit ribosomal RNA", at positions 29 to 507 of the family's 1533-position model. The record is from RNAcentral.